GACGAACGCUGGCGGCGUGCUUAACACAUGCAAGUCGAACGGAAAGGCCCUGCUUUUGUGGGUUGCUCGAGUGGCGAACGGGUGAGUAACACGUGAGUAACCUGCCCUUGACUUUGGGAUAACUUCAGGAAACUGGGGCUAAUACCGGAUAGGAGCUCCUGCUGCAUGGUGGGGGUUGGAAAGUUUCGGCGGUUGGGGAUGGACUCGCGGCUUAUCAGCUUGUUGGUGGGGUAGUGGCUUACCAAGGCUUUGACGGGUAGCCGGCCUGAGAGGGUGACCGGCCACAUUGGGACUGCGAUACGGCCCAGACUCCUACGUGAGGCAGCAGUGGGAAAUAUUGCACAGUGGGCGGAAGCCUGAUGCAGCAACGCCGCGUGCGGGAUGACGGCCUUCGGGUUGUAAACCGCUUUCGCCUGUGACGAAGCGUGAGUGACGGUAAUGGGUAAAGAAGCACCGGCUAACUACGUG
RNAcentral lists this ribosomal RNA (468 nucleotides) under uncultured bacterium. RNAcentral's name for it is "partial 16S ribosomal RNA". It matches the Rfam family "Bacterial small subunit ribosomal RNA", at positions 28 to 507 of the family's 1533-position model. The record is from RNAcentral.